GCCAGACUCCUACGGGAGGCAGCAGUGAGGAAUAUUGGUCAAUGGGCGGAAGCCUGAACCAGCCAAGUCGCGUGAGGGAAGAAGGCCCUGCGGGUCGCAGACCUCUUUGGACGGGGAGCAAGGCCGCCGACGUGUCGGCGGAAGGAGAGUACCCGUAGAACAAGCAUCGGCUAACUCCGUGCCAGCAGCCGCGGUAAUACGGAGGAUGCGAGCGUUAUCCGGAUUUAUUGGGUUUAAGGGGUGCGCAGGCGGCGCGGCAGGCCGGCGGGAAAAUCGCGGGGCGCAACCCCGCCCAGCCGUCGGAACUGCCGGGCUAGAGUGGGCGAGAAGUGCGCGGAAUGCGUGGUGUAGCGGUGAAAUGCUUAGAUAUCGCGCAGAACCCCGAUUGCGAAGGCAGCGUACCGGCUCCACACUGACGCUGAGGCACGAAAGCGUGGGUAUCGAACAGGAUUAGAUACCCCCGUA
Molecule: ribosomal RNA, 465 nt
Filed under: uncultured bacterium
Lineage: Bacteria
Description: bacterial SSU rRNA
Rfam family: Bacterial small subunit ribosomal RNA
Source: RNAcentral